RNAcentral lists this ribosomal RNA (352 nucleotides) under Lithodesmium variabile. Its description in RNAcentral is "bacterial LSU rRNA". It matches the Rfam family "Bacterial large subunit ribosomal RNA", at positions 2090 to 2441 of the family's 2925-position model. The record is from RNAcentral. Lineage: Eukaryota; Bacillariophyta; Thalassiosirophyceae; Lithodesmiales; Lithodesmiaceae.
CCUAUGAAGCUUUACUGUAACUUGAAAUUGAAAUUGGACUUUAUUCGCGCAGUAUAGGUGGGAGGCGUUGAAAAUAGUCUUGCGGGAAUAUUGGAGCCAUCAGUGAGAUACCACUCUUAUAAUGUUAGAUUUCUAACUUUGAAUCAUUAUCUGGUCAAAGAACAGUUUCAGGCGGGCAGUUUGACUGGGGCGGUCGCCUCCCAAACGGUAACGGAGGCGUACAAAGGUUUCCUCUGAACGGGUAGAAAUCGUAUCUAGAGUAUAAAGGCAAAAGGAAGCUUGACUGUGAGACCUACAAGUCGAGCAGGGACGAAAGUCGGUCUUAGUGAUCUGACGGUACUGAGUGGAAAGG